This 2852-nucleotide long non-coding RNA is filed under the name Sus scrofa (pig). RNAcentral describes it as "lncRNA (ENSSSCG00045002485.1)". The record is from RNAcentral. Lineage: Eukaryota; Metazoa; Chordata; Mammalia; Artiodactyla; Suidae.
AGGAGAAAAUGUGUGUGUGUGUGUGUGUGUGUGUGUGUGUGUGUGUGUGUGUGCGUGCGCAUGCGUGUAUCUGGAUGAGAACUGUUCACAAUCAGUGUGCAAUUUUAAUCUCUAAAGCUGAACAAUGAACAUAAUCAUUACAGACUUCCUUUUGGAUACAGUUGAAAUGAGGAAAAGAUUUAUCAUGCUUUUCUUCUUUGUGGUCACCAACAUUCAAGUUUGUUUUUAAUCUACAUAUUUCUAAAACUUCUCUGCAAAUGCUCUCCCAUUUCUAGAACACCAAAAGCUUGCCUCCUCAUAUCCUUCCUAACCAUGCCCACUUGAUCAUCCUUCCUUCCUUACCCAUCCCAUCAGACACUUAAUUGUUUAACGCACUGUAACUGAUGCCUUCUUGUUCUAUUUCAGGGAUCAUUUCUCUCAUCAUUCAUUAAGCCUAGAAGUCUAAUACUAGAAGAAACAAUUUUUCCUCCUCUCGAUUUCCUAGAGAAGGAUUUUUGACACCCCUUUUGCGUCUCUCUAUCCCUUUAUUUAGUCUGCUUUCGCCUGAGUUCCCUGGAGCAAUGUUUCUGUUUAAAACCAUCUGGACAAGCUUUGUUCUCUUCGAUCCAUUCCUCUAGGGAGAAGGAUACUUGCAGUGAGCGUUAGUUUUGCUGCUACUCCUAAGGGAAAUGGUUCUUCACCAGGGAAGCUUCCACUAUCUUUUGUUGCCUUGACUGGGUGAUUAAAUCUAACCACCCAGGAUUAGAAAACCCUCUUUCUUAACAGCCCUGAAGCCAUGUCUUCUAGUCUCACCUCUAUGGGUAAUAAAAGAGAAAUUUUGCUUCAUAACCUGAGUAGGGAAAAAAGAUGCUCUUGAUUGUGGCCUUCACAGAUCCUGUUACCCAGCAUAACUCUCAUUUUAAUUUCUAUUCCUCUGGACUUUUUUGGAUUUCAUAGCAUUUAUAAAUCCUUCUCAGGAGUUUCCUGGCAGUUUAGGGGUUAGGAUUUGACAUUUUCACUGCUAGGGUCUGGGUUCAAUCUCUGGUUUGGGAACUGAGAUCCCACUUGAAGCUGCUGCAUGCCACAGCCAAUAGUAGUAGUAGUAAUAAUAAUAGUAAUAAUAAUAAUAAUAAUAAUAAAUCCUUCUCAUCUCUCCUUUACCACACAAGGCUCAUGGUUUUCAUGCUCUAUUAUAUGGGGAUGCAUGUGUAGCGAUUUGUGUGAUAUUUUGUGGAUGCAUACAUCUAACUUUCUUUUUUUUUUUUUUUUUUGGCUUUUUGGCUUUUUGCUAUUUCUUUGGGCUGCUUCCGCGGCAUAUGGAGGUUCCCAGGCUAGGGGUCUAAUCGGAGCUGUAGCCACCGGCCUACGCCAGAGCCACAGCAACGCAGGAUCUGAGCUGCGUCUGCAACCUACACCACAGCUCACGGCAACGCCAGAUCUUUAACCCACUGAGCAAGGGCAGGGACCGAACCUGCAACCUCAUGGUUCCUAGUGGGAUUCGUUAACCACUGUGCCACGACGGGAACUCCCACAUCUAACUUUCUUUGUCUAGUUCCCUCUGGCUACUGCUUUCCAUUUUCCUUUUUAUUUCUCUGGGUUCUUUGCUUUCUUUCUUCUUCUUUUGGUGGCAACACCAGACUUUUUCUUUUUUUAUUAAUCUUGCCAAACUACAACACCUGUUUCCUCUACUUAGCUGUGGAUUCCUGUGCCAAACCGGUGUAUGAUAUCUAAUACCAACAAAAGAGGUAUUAGAAAAGAAGAGACAAGAAAGAAAACAACAUUGAUGAUUAAAUAGGAUAAUAAAGAUACUAUUUUAAAUCUAAAAUAAAAGCAUAUUAGUCAAUAAGUGGGUUAUGCCACUUGAGUAGACAUCUGGAAAAAAUAAAUUGGAUUUCUACAUCACGCUUUACACAAAAUAAACAAAGUAGGUUACAUAAUUAAAAUAAUAAGUUAAAUAACACACACUAUAAAAAUAAAUAAAAUAAUAAAACAUCAAAAUUCUCAAAUGAUAGAUUUAAAGUUUGGACUUGAAAAAAUUCUUUUAGUAUGACUUGGGUCAUACUAAAGCUCAAAAAUCAUAAACGAAAAGAUUUUCUAAAUUUAAUUGUAAUAAAAUAAUUUUAAAAUUGUAAUAGUAAAAGGUCUCAAUUAAUAUCAGAUAUUUGACAAUAUUUUUCAAAAAUGACAAGUGCAUGCACCCUUCUUUAUACCAGCCAUUCUAAUCCUAGGAUUCUUUCCACAGGUAUAUAUACUGGGAUAUAUAAGAUAUGACACAUCUAAAAUUUUUUUCAUGUAUUUAAAUGUGUCAUUAAAUGUGAACAUUCAUUUUAGCAUGGUUUAUAUGUACAGUUGACACUUGACAACUUGAAUUUGAACUGGGAAGGUCCAUGUAUGUGCAGAUUUUUUUCAAUAAAAAUAUACUAUAGUACUCUACAGCCCGUGGUUGGUUGAAUCUGCAGAUGCAGAACCACAAAUAUGGAGAAACCAUGGAUGUGGAGGGCUGACUAUAAGGUUAUACUCAGAUUUCAUCUGUGUGACCGGUCAGUGCCCCAAGCCCCAUGUUAUUCAAGGAUCAACCGUACAAAAUAUUGGAGAAUGUAACUGUCCUUCGAUAGAGGAUUGAUUCGAUUUUAGUAAAUAAUUGGACAUAAAAAUAAUUGUUCAAGAAACACCAUGGCAAGUUAGUGUUUACUAACAGACUAAUUCACAUAAACUGAUUUACAAUAUAAGUUUUGAAUAAUUUGUUUAAAAAAAAUAGUUAAGUAUAGAACAGGAGAUGCAGCAGACUACCUUGUAGGUUAAAAAGGAAGAUGACGGAAAUAAAGGAAGAAAGGAAGGAAGGAAGGAAGGAGAGAGAGAGAGAGAGAGAGAGA